This is a long non-coding RNA of Lytechinus pictus (painted urchin), 1370 nucleotides long. RefSeq lists it as uncharacterized. The transcript has 3 exons. The record is from RefSeq and is a predicted model, not a curated record. NCBI's taxonomy places the organism in Eukaryota, Metazoa, Echinodermata, Echinoidea, Temnopleuroida, Toxopneustidae.
UUGUUCUCGCACGCGCGCGCGCACGUACGCAUGUAACCGCCAAUUGCAAUAUUUGAAAAAAGAACCCGAUCAACCACUGUUUUGCUGUUCAGAAGUCCGUCUAUAAUUCAUCAUAAACUAAAGGAACACAGGUCAGAUUCGGACAACGACUUCAAAUUCAUUCGCUGAAUACGCUAAACAAUUGGACGACGGAUACACUGGAUGAUAAUAUAGAUGGUCCAGGAUUAUCUGGGAAGGAAACUACAGGUGUUGAACACAGAAAACCGUUUACAAGAAAACAUCUGGAGUUUGUGAAAGCUGCAAGAAAUUAAUCUUGCCGGGUACGCAUUCACUUCACCUUGGUCGAGUGCAGCACAGUGGAUAAAUGUGUUGCUGAAGGAAAACACCAUUGCUAGGAUUCAAACCCACGACACUCUGUUGAAAGGUGAGAGUCAGAACCACUAGACCACGACGCACACACAGUUAACAAGCUGAUGUCAUACUCCCACUUGUUCUUUUGUAUUUUAUAACAAGAAGUCGUGUUUAUUCACAUUUUGACCUCCAAGAACUAAAAAGUGGAGUGAAGAUUUAUUUAAUGUAAACACAUGCAUUGCUUGAAAUCAUUUUAUGCUACGUGGGACAUAUCAUACACGCGUGUACGAAAAUAUGAAAUUAUUAUGAUUUCAUUUUAUAACAUAAGCCUAACACAUAUUCCUGACGAUCAUGUGCACAUUCCAGUAAUUUUUCCCAAAAUGUUGCUAAACCUUCAAAUCAAAGACUUUGUUAUCAGAUUUUAACGAAAUUGUCAACAUUAUGCUUUUCUGAUUAAUUCUCUUCCUACCUAAAUCUCCCCUUUCCUCAUGCUUUCUUUCUAUGGACCCUUCAUUCUCCUUAUAACUAUGUUAUAUGUAAAAUGUAACCGGUCGUCCAACCCAUUUGAUUGAAGGGCUAGGUACUCUAGACUGAAAGUUAUGUGAUUUAAAUUCAAAGAGUACAUCAGACAAAAAAAACACUGAAAAUUUCAUCAAAAUUGAAUGAGGAUUAACGAAAUUAUGACGAAUUAAAGUUGUUAUUUUUUGGUAAAACUGUUCUCUGCAAGUCCUCAUGAAUAUACAAGAUCCCAAUUUAUAUAUUUUUUUGUAUUAUAUGAAUUCAAAUUUUGUCCAAGCUAGGUUGUAAAAAAUUAUGAUUGACUACUGAUAUACUGUGAAAGACAAAAAUUAUAUUAUUUCUCACACAUAGUUGAGUUAUUCAUCUGAUUCAACACAACAAAAAUAGACAAAAAAUAAAUAAGUGAGAAUCUUGUAUAUUUGAACUAUGGGAAAUAGUUAAAAAAUAGAUGUGCUACUAAGAAUUAUUUUCUAUAUGAUUUGCAAAAUAUUAAAAAAAGA